UACGUAGGGGGCGAGCGUUGUCCGGAUUCAUUGGGCGUAAAGAGCUCGUAGGCGGCUUGGCAAGUCGGGUGUGAAAACUCCAGGCUCAACCUGGAGACGCCACCCGAUACUGCCAUGGCUUGAGUCCGGUAGGGGACCACGGAAUUCCUGGUGUAGCGGUGAAAUGCGCAGAUAUCAGGAGGAACACCGGUGGCGAAGGCGGUGGUCUGGGCCGGUACUGACGCUGAGAAGCGAAAGCAUGGGGAGCGAACAGG
RNAcentral lists this ribosomal RNA (254 nucleotides) under uncultured bacterium. RNAcentral describes it as "partial 16S ribosomal RNA". It matches the Rfam family "Bacterial small subunit ribosomal RNA", at positions 524 to 776 of the family's 1533-position model. The record is from RNAcentral.